Molecule: non-coding RNA, 23 nt
Filed under: Cricetulus griseus (Chinese hamster)
Lineage: Eukaryota; Metazoa; Chordata; Mammalia; Rodentia; Cricetidae
Source: RNAcentral
UAUAUUGAAAAAAUGGUUUUGGC